UACGUAGGGUGCAAGCGUUGUCCGGAAUUAUUGGGCGUAAAGAGCUCGUAGGCGGUCUGUCGCGUCGGCUGUGAAAACCCGAGGCUCAACCUCGGGCCUGCAGUCGAUACGGGCAAACUAGAGUACUGCAGGGGAGACUGGAAUUCCUGGUGUAGCGGUGGAAUGCGCAGAUAUCAGGAGGAACACCGGUGGGCCGAAGGCGGGU
Molecule: ribosomal RNA, 205 nt
Filed under: uncultured bacterium
Lineage: Bacteria
Description: partial 16S ribosomal RNA
Rfam family: Bacterial small subunit ribosomal RNA
Source: RNAcentral